UACGGAGGGGACUAGCGUUGUUCGGAAUUACUGGGCGUAAAGCGCACGUAGGCGGAUUUGUAAGUCAGGGGUGAAAUCCCGGGGCUCAACCUCGGAACUGCCUUUGAUACUGCAAAUCUCGAGUCCGGAAGAGGUGAGUGGAAUUCCUAGUGUAGAGGUGAAAUUCGUAGAUAUUCGCAAGAACACCAGUGGCGAAGGCGGCUCACUGGCCCGGUACUGACGCUGAGGUGCGAAAGCGUGGGGAGCAAACAGG
RNAcentral lists this ribosomal RNA (253 nucleotides) under uncultured bacterium. RNAcentral describes it as "partial 16S ribosomal RNA". It matches the Rfam family "Bacterial small subunit ribosomal RNA", at positions 524 to 776 of the family's 1533-position model. The record is from RNAcentral.